GCCCGGGUGGCGAAAUGGUAGACGCAGAGGACUUAAAAUCCUUUGGUAGCAAUACCGUGAGGGUUCGAGUCCCUCCCUGGGCACCA
Molecule: transfer RNA, 86 nt
Filed under: Armatimonadota bacterium
Lineage: Bacteria; Bacillati; Armatimonadota
Description: Armatimonadetes bacterium (activated sludge metagenome) tRNA-Leu
Rfam family: tRNA
About the family: Transfer RNA (tRNA) molecules are approximately 80 nucleotides in length. Their secondary structure includes four short double-helical elements and three loops (D, anti-codon, and T loops).
Source: RNAcentral